CCUACGGGAGGCAGCAGUAGGGAAUUUUCGGCAAUGGGGGGAACCCUGACCGAGCAACGCCGCGUGAGGGAGGAAGUAUUUCGGUAUGUAAACCUCUGUUAUAAAGGAAGAACGGUGCAUGUAGGGAAUGACAUGCAAGUGACGGUACUUUAUGAGGAAGCCACGGCUAACUCCGUGCCAGCAGCCGCGGUAAUACGGAGGAUGCGAGCGUUAUCCGGAUUUAUUGGGUUUAAAGGGUGCGUAGGCGGGAUGCCAAGUCAGCGGUAAAAAUGCGGUGCUCAACGCCGUCGAGCCGUUGAAACUGGCGUUCUUGAGUGGGCGAGAAGUAUGCGGAAUGCGUGGUGUAGCGGUGAAAUGCAUAGAUAUCACGCAGAACUCCGAUUGCGAAGGCAGCAUACCGGCGCCCUACUGACGCUGAGGCACGAAAGCGUGGGUAUCGAACAGGAUUAGAUACCCCUGUAGUC
RNAcentral lists this ribosomal RNA (464 nucleotides) under uncultured bacterium. RNAcentral describes it as "partial 16S ribosomal RNA". It matches the Rfam family "Bacterial small subunit ribosomal RNA", at positions 338 to 795 of the family's 1533-position model. The record is from RNAcentral.